CGGUAAGGUGGAAACGGAUAGAGUCGGCGUAUCAUUCAAUUAUUCAGUUACAUUAUUUUUAUGUUGUGACCUCUGAGCUCCAGAUUGGGACAGAGGGAAUCAGCAUAAUUUUUUGUGGUGCAUUUACUUGAUUGGUGCUUGGGGAUGUUUGAGGCAGAUUUGUUUCCGUCGUUUUGAGGCCAGCUUGCUGGUACCCAAACGGUGUUAGCAUUUUUUGUCUUGGGCAUUUGAGUAUGGCUCACGUGUAUUUAUUGGACAGAUCUGAGUGUAAGUUACGGUCGCAUGCGACACGUGCUUUUCAAUUAGUUCGGUCCAGUUAAUGCUCUCGUACUCGUUCCCCAUGUAAAAGCCGGUCAUCUAUCCGACCCGUCUUGAAACACGGACCAAGGAGUUUAUCGUGUGCGCAAGUUUUUGGGUGUUAAAAACUUAAAAGCGAAAUGAAAGUAAAUGACUCUUUAGAGUCUGAUGUGCGAUCUUGUAAAAAAGUGUAGCAUGGCCCCAUUCUAACUGUUUACAGUAGGGUGGCGGAAGAGCGUACGCGGUGAGACCCGAAAGAUGGUGAACUAUUCCUGAGCAGGACGAAGCCAGAGGAAACUCUGGUGGAAGUCCGAAGCGGUUCUGACGUGCAAAUCGAUCGUCUGACUUGGGUAUAGGGGCGAAAGACUAAUCGAACCAUCUAGUAGCUGGUU
RNAcentral lists this ribosomal RNA (689 nucleotides) under Meloidogyne javanica (root-knot nematode). RNAcentral describes it as "LSU rRNA". It matches the Rfam family "Eukaryotic large subunit ribosomal RNA", at positions 406 to 956 of the family's 3401-position model. The record is from RNAcentral. Lineage: Eukaryota; Metazoa; Nematoda; Chromadorea; Rhabditida; Meloidogynidae.